RNAcentral lists this ribosomal RNA (200 nucleotides) under uncultured bacterium. Its description in RNAcentral is "partial 16S ribosomal RNA". It matches the Rfam family "Bacterial small subunit ribosomal RNA", at positions 28 to 244 of the family's 1533-position model. The record is from RNAcentral.
GAUGAACGCUGGCGGCGUGCCUAAUACAUGCAAGUCGAGCGGUAAGGCCCCUUCGGGGGUACACGAGCGGCGGACGGCUGAGUAACGCGUGGGAACAUGCCCCAAAGUGAGGAAUAAGCUCCAGAAAUGGAGUCUAAUGCCGCAUAUGAUCUUCGGAUUAAAGGAUUUAUCCGCUUUGGGAGUGGCCUGCGUACGAUUAG